CGACUUUGCAGCCUGGCUGCCUCCCCCCAGACCCGCCGGCCGGAAUGGAAACCCAAGCUCUCUCGUAAUGAAGGGGAUGAUGCAAACUUAGAAACUGACCUGGCACCCGGGAAUGGUGCCCCACCCCCACCCUUGGCGCGCGGCGUCCCAGUCCGGGCAUGAAUGGCUGGAGCCCGAUUGCAUAAUCGGCGCGGUAUAUAUAGCCGGCGGGCAGGCUGCUGACGCGCUCCUGCGUCCUGUUAUCGUGAAUACUUCAUCGCCGAUGGCGUUGGCUCCCGGGUCAUUUUCCCUUUCAGCUGUAAGGCUGGGAUUUUAAAUAGCAGAGAUGAAAGGCUCUUGUCCCUGCCUCCCUCCUCCCUUGAGUUCAUGUAUUAUGAAUGAAACCUCGCUGCUUCCUGAAAUCCCUCCUUCAGAUCCCAGAUAUACAGACAGCUGGGCAAAGGCAUUGAAGAAAGGACCAGAAAAACAGGUGACCAAUAAAAUGCAAGGAGAUGUCUGCUAGGGAAAUACUGGAAAAAAUUUGAAUCCCUGAACAAAAGAGAGAUAUGGGGUGAGAGGGGGUGCUCCCGUCUCCCCCCGCCCCCCCGCUCCUGCCCUCAGAAGUUCUUGUGUGAGACCGUGAUGUUCAGCACUACCAGGAGAAGAAUGCCAAGAAAAUCAAAGGAGAGCUGACUGAGAAUCCUGGAAUUGCUGAGCUACUGAGUCGACCAGACUUGCAACCCACCUACCUCUGGACUUCAGGUUAUGCGAAAUAGCACAUCUUUAUUGUUUAAGCCCCUUUUUACCAGUGUCUUGUUACUUGCGGUCAAACUAAGUGAUUCACACUGUAUUCAUUCGUUGUAUGCACAGAACUCCCUGUUUUAAGGAAAUCCCAGUGUUUCAACAGCAGGUGUCUGGUUGGUUUGCCACUUGCAGAAGAGGACUAACCAACAGAGUUAACUUCUAGACACAUCUCUUU
This is a long non-coding RNA of Eubalaena glacialis (North Atlantic right whale), 958 nucleotides long. RefSeq lists it as uncharacterized. Lineage: Eukaryota; Metazoa; Chordata; Mammalia; Artiodactyla; Balaenidae. The transcript is spliced from 3 exons. The record is from RefSeq and is a predicted model, not a curated record.